Molecule: ribosomal RNA, 257 nt
Filed under: uncultured bacterium
Lineage: Bacteria
Description: partial 16S ribosomal RNA
Rfam family: Bacterial small subunit ribosomal RNA
Source: RNAcentral
GACAGAGGGUGCAAACGUUGCUCGGAAUCACUGGGGCGUAAAGAGCUCGUAGGCGGUUCGUCACGUCGGCUGUGAAAUCCCGAGGCUCAACCUCGGGUCUGCAGUCGAUACGGGCGGACUUGAGUACUGCAGGGGAGACUGGAAUUCCUGGUGUAGCGGUGAAAAUGCGCAGAUAUCAGGAGGAACACCGGUGGCGAAGGCGGGUCUCUGGGCAGUAACUGACGCUGGAGGAGCGAAAAGCGUGGGGAGCGAACAGG